GACGAACGCUGGCGGCGUGCUUAACACAUGCAAGUCGAGCGGAAAGGCCCUUCGGGGUACUCGAGCGGCGAACGGGUGAGUAACACGUGAGUAACCUGCCCCAGACUUUGGGAUAACCCUCGGAAACGGGGGCUAAUACCGGAUACGACACAGCUUCGCAUGGGGUCUGUGUGGAAAGUUUUUCGGUUUGGGAUGGGCUCGCGGCCUAUCAGCUUGUUGGUGGGGUGAUGGCCUACCAAGGCGACGACGGGUAGCCGGCCUGAGAGGGCGACCGGCCACAAUGGGACUGAGACACGGCCCAGACUCCUACGGGAGGCAGCAGUGGGGAAUAUUGCACAAUGGGCGGAAGCCUGAGGCGGCGACGCCGCGUGAGGGAUGACGGCCUUCGGGUUGUAAACCUCUUUCAGCAGGGACGAAGCGUAAGUGACGGUACCUGCAGAAGAAGCGCCGGCCAACUACGUG
Molecule: ribosomal RNA, 462 nt
Filed under: uncultured bacterium
Lineage: Bacteria
Description: partial 16S ribosomal RNA
Rfam family: Bacterial small subunit ribosomal RNA
Source: RNAcentral